UGCUCAGCCACAGAAACAUUGCAAUCAUCUGCAAACUGCCUUCUGCGGAUUGUAACCGUUAUUGUGUUGUUUUCCGUUGUCAAAGUAAUCGAAGGUGUCUUGUCAACAUGUAUGAAGUGAACGGCAAAUCUUGGAACUUUCUAAUGUUACGUCAGGCAAAGUCAAGAUUGUUGCAAAAUAUAGAUGUUCAUAAGGGAAAAAAUACAAUUUGAA
This 213-nucleotide long non-coding RNA is filed under the name Coffea arabica (coffee). RNAcentral describes it as "long non-coding RNA (CARA_LNC007314)". The record is from RNAcentral. Lineage: Eukaryota; Viridiplantae; Streptophyta; Magnoliopsida; Gentianales; Rubiaceae.